AAAAGAAACAAUAUGAUCAGCUAGAAAAAACUCUACAGCUACUAUGCCACUAUACUCCCACUAUCCAUGUCAUACUCUUAAUAUAUAUAUAUAUAUAUAGCUGGCCUCCAUGCUUCCAAGUCGUUUUCAAUGUUCGGACUUUCGAAUCGACGAUCGGCUCCGUUAGAGUUGAUCUAGAGUAUUUGAAGUACUUAGAAAAUAAAUUUUGCGAUUUUUCAAUAUCAUUUGCCUAGUGAUCGAAGGGGCUCAAAAUCAAUAAUUUUAACGGCCGUGGUGAACCGGUUGCAAGUUUAACGAUAUAGAAAUAUCCAAAUCACAUGAAAUUUUGAUAGAAAAUUCUUUAUACCAUAUAAAACAAGAUCAAUAACUUUGAUCUAAAAUUUUAAUGUCAUAUCAUCAUAUUUUGUAAGAUUUUUAUUUUCAGCCGUUGAUUUUGAGCCACUUCGAUCACUAGGCAAAUGAUAUCGAAAAAUCGCAAAAUUUAUUUUCUAGAUACUUCAAAUACUCUAGAUCAAGUCUAACGGAGCCGAUCGUCGAUUCGAAAGUCCGAACAUCGAAAACAAAGUGGAAGCACGGAGCCCUCCGUGCUUCCAUAAACAUCCUAGCCGCACUAUAUAUAUAUAUAUAUAUAUAGAAUUAGGCUGGAAUACUAAUAAUAGUAAAAACAAGUUUUUAACCCUUGGAUGAAAAAUUGUAGGGUCAUGAUGAUAUUAGUCGGUUAGAGUUGAGUGGUCCCCUUAGGGUUGAAUGGCCCCCACUGGGUUAUAGUAUUUAAUCCAAUGGUUAGAAAUAAUAAAAAGAGUUGAUCCAAAGGCUAAAAAACUGGUAGCAACAAUGGGAUUUUGCUACUAAUAGUAGCCCAGUCCAACAAUAUAUAUAUAUAUAUAUAUAUAUAUAUAUAUAUAUAUUAUGCAAGUAACCCUAUAAUCAAUGUCCAAAACUAUAAAACCAUCUAAGAUAAAACCUCUGACAUAAUACAUAGUGUCAAAAUGAAUUUUAGCUAUAUCAUUUUCAAAACUAAAAGAAACGCCUAACUUGAGCAUAACAAUAACAGAAAACAAAUUCCGCCGAAUUUCUAAAGCAUAAAGUCUAUCAUGAAGGUCCAAAGUUCGACCACAAUGCAUGAUCAACUUUCACAUGCUAAUGCCUAAUACAUCGACACUCGAAUCGUUCUCCAUGCAUACUCUUCUGCUCCAUCAAGUACACAACGGCACUCGACGAGUCUCAUCCGAUCUCUCGCUACGUGAUCUGUUCUUCUGAGUCUACAAUCUACAUAGGACAGUUCAGCAACAAAUAUGUUAGAAGAAAUAAAAGAAUGAGAAUCAGGAUAAAGGAGUACCUUCUUCCGAGCGAAGCAUCCUGGCUGGUUACAAUUGAAAUAGGUCAUAUUUGAUUUAUCCUUCUUACCACCUCGUUUACUUCUUUUUCUUUUGGUGUUCUUCACCUUCUUAGCCGUAGGUUCGAUAUUGCUUUGAGGCUCAGUAAUCCUCUUUUGCUUAAAGCUGGGUGUUUUGCAAAAAUUUAACUUAGUAGUAUUGGCAAUUGAGGUUUUAAUAGUCUUAAGGUGCUUCUUUUCCAACUCUAUCGUACAACAUUCUCAAAGGUUUUAACGUUUUUAUUGUAUGUCAAAUUGACUUGUAUAUGUUCCCACAAAUUUGGAAAAGGAGCAAAUCAUAGUUAGACAUGCUGCUCAUCAGUCAAAGUGUCGCCAGCCGACUUUAACUCGGGAAUCAUAUUUGAUAUUAUUCUCAUGUGCUGUUUCAUGAUCUGAUUGGCACGCUUCUUAUAACUAUCAAACUGCAUAGUCAUGCUGCACAUCUUGUAGCCAAAGUCGCAUCAAAUUUAAUGUUUAGAGCCUUCUACAUGUCAAAAGCAGUUGGAUACUGCUAAUAUUCGCAUAAGAGAUCAUUCUGCAUGUUACUCAGUAACAUGAUGCAAGCGAUGAGAUCCUUUUUGAGCCAAUUAGUAUAGGCUUCCAUAUCUCAGCGAACCUGAAUACUAUUGCCCUCUGUGGGUUGGUCCAUCUUAUUACUCAAGCUUCCUAGAACUUCUUGCUCAGCGAGGACACAUUAAAUUUUACGGUGUCAAAUAUCAUAAUUGUCAUUGUCCAAUUUCUCUUCUAUAAUCAGAUCAACAACUACUUAUUUUGAGCUCAUAUUAUCGGAAUAAGUUCACACUGUGUGUAGAAAAAGAUAUACAAAAAUUAGCACACAAUACAUAUAUUAUAUGUUGUCGCAUCUCUAAUUAAACAAAUUGAAAAAGAUCAUAUUUAUGUAAAGAAAACUUUCGCUAUGCUAAUAAUCACUCACACGUCCUACGGCUAAUUUUUACUUAUUUAAUUGAGUUGUACAAAACUAUAGCAUUUGGGAAUAAAGUAUAUGAUCACUCUACCACAAUAAAAACUUUUAUUUGACUAAGCAUACAUAAAAAAUUUAUACAAUGCCAAAAAGCUUUAUCCAAAAAUCAUAAGAUAAAAUUUUUUAAAAAUUUAAAUGCAUGCAACACGUACUAUCUAGGCAUAAUAAAUCAUCUAAUGUGCAUUUAAAAUAAUAAUAAAUUUCAAAAAUAAUUAUUUAUUUAUUUUAUUUAUUUUGGUACGUCGCCCGAGCAGGUGGGCCCGACCCAACAUGGGCCUACAUGGCCUGUGCAACGCGGUUGAGCCGCAUGGUUCUAUCCCCACGGGAAGAAACUAUCUUUAAUUUUUUAAUCAAGAAAAAAUAAUAUAUCUAUAACCUUUAGGGCCCGUUUGGUUCGAGUUAUGUAAUAUUACAAAGUAUCUCAACAUAUCCAGGUAUCUUGAAUUUCGACGUGAGAUUACUACUGAUGCUACAUUAGCGCGUUUGGUUUAAUACAGUAAUAUAAUACUAGAUUACAAUGUUUAUAGCAUUAAUACGUUUGGUUCAAUUUAUAAAAUUUAGUAAUCCUAACAUAAAAGUAUAGUUUUUUUCAAAAUUGUCCUUAUUGUGGUCAUUUGAAUAUUAUUUUUUGCGAAAUGACAAAUAGAGGGAAGACCUGGGAGGACGACGCAAUAGAAGAUGAUAGGUGUUCGUGCGCUCGCGCAAGAGAGAGAGAGACGUGAGAGAGAGAGAGCGAGAGAAAGCGGCGUGCGAGAGAGAGGCGAGGGAAGGCGAGAGAGAGAUAAAAAUAAUGCUGUUAAUUAGAUUUAGGAUUGUUGGAGAGUAAAAUUGUCAUUUUACAUAAUAUGUAGUAUUAACGGAUUUCAGUAAUGCAAGAUACACGACCCCCCUCCCGUUAAUAUUUUCGAUGUAAUCCUGCUCGAUUUGUAAUGCUAUAUUAACGACUAGAUUAUAUAGCGGAUUAACCAAACACAGUUAUCCUGCCAAGAUUGCCUGUAAUCCUGCCAGGAUAACUCGAACCAAACGCACCCUUAAUUCACAGGCUCAAAAUAUGCAUGUAAUAUAUGAAUAGAAAAUUUAUAAAGAGUUCUACUAAAUUAUGCAAGUUUCAUAGUGAAAUAUAUACUACACAUCAAACAAAUUACCCACAAAAUUUCUAUCUAGGAUUUCGUUCUUCUCAUAAAAUAUAAAACCGAAUCAAAUUAAAUUUUGUAGGUUUAAUUUACAACAUAAGUGCUAUAAGAUGUGUAAAAAUUAUGCACUUAUAUUCAUCCUAGAAAAAUUCGUCGUUAGCAACUACAAGCAUGUAAGAAAAAAAUAUCUAAACAAUAACAACUUUAUAUAUAUCUACGCAUGCCUUGUUAAAAAUUUAUUGAGGGUACGGAAUCAACCUAAUAAUUCUCUUAUAUAAUUUAAAACCCAUCAAAAAUAUUUAUUCGUACCUUUUUCAAAAUCGACUAGUAUUAAAAAUGUAAUAAGUUUUGGAUCAUAGAGGUUAAUUCGCGUAUUCUCGGAUUAUCUAUAAAGAUCUUCUAACACUCCCAAGCUAGUGGUAGAUCGAGCUAUGAACAAGUUAGGUCUAUAAUUUACCAUUCAAGACCCUCCAGAAGCAGGAGAUUAAUGGAGAAUGUGAUUUUUCUCUCUCACAAGAUAGCUCACAAAUUUCUCACCAAUUUAUAAGUAUUUUUUCUAUUUUUAAUUUCUUGUGCAUCUUUAUAAGAGAAUCAUCAGUAUAUUUAUAGGAAUCCCAACACCCUAAUAGAUAGGUAGAAAGUUAGACCGAAUCAAUUUAUGAUAGCUGUCCUAAUAUGACUAAAUGAUAUCUCUAAAUAGCUUUCAAAAUUAAAAGCGAGAUUAAGUCUAGUCUGAUUAGACAAUCUAAUAACCCUCGAAUCGAGUCCGAUCAUAUGCAUCCGAUUCGGUUUAACCAAAUGCCAACAUCUACAAAUCGCACAUAUGGUACAAUAGUUUAAAUUCUAAACAGGUGAGCGGUUUUAUGGUAUAUGCUAAUAUUACUUUAUUUGUGUUUUAGAGAACCGCACUCUUUUCAUAAUCAAAGACUUACGAAUCCACACACAUAGUAGGUCCUCAAAAGAGUAUUUGUAAGGUUACCUACACCCUACCUCACGGGUGUCGAAAGCAUUUAGGGUCAAUGUCCUUCCUAUCCACUUGCAAUAUGAGCACUGUCGCCAUAGGAUGCAUGCUGUAAAAUUUUUGUUCCCAGCAACAUUAUUCUUUUUUAUUUCUAAAAUUAUCAAGAAGCUUACCAGAAAUAUGAAAAUCCUCGUAGAACGAGGAUCAUUAAACGCUAUUUGACUUUUAUUAUGAAAAUAUUUUGAAAGCUUGAAAGAAUUUUAGCAUGCGAAUUCCAUCAUCGGCAUUUAGCUUAUCAUUAACGAUAAGAUUACCUAGUUUGUUCUGUUCUCCUUUUAGACUCUUGAUUUAUGCAUUACUUAUAUGCACAUUAAAUUCAAGCUAUUUUAGUACAUUCAGCGCGCACAAUUAAAGAAGGACAUAAAAUAGUAAGAAAGUUAAUUGAUUAAUUUCUCCUUCGAAACUGAUAUUGUCAAAGCUAGCUAGUAUUGAUAUUAAUGUCGGAGCACAUGUAUAAUAUUUGUCUAAUAGCUUUGGCAAUGUUCUCCAAUCCCCCACCUCCUCUCUUCGACACCGUCUCCAAGUUAUCAUGCAUAUAUGUACAAAACCUAUGAUAUAAGUAGUCUAAAAUUCAAAAUAAAAUUAACCUCCUUAAAAUAUAUGGGCAUGCACUAUAAUUAAUUACCCUCUUCCGUAAUGAAAACAUGCAUAAUCAAUAACCUCUCGAUCGUACGUGUUCUUCGAGUCAACAAGAUUAAUUUGUUCUCCAACUCAAUCCUAGCUACCCGGCUUCGCUCGCCCGCUGGAGAAACUCCUCAAUCAACGCCUUCCGGGCCGACACUACACCGACGGGGACGAACGAUCGGCCGAAAGCCGAGCAAUCGGCCCAGUCCUUGAGCCUGCCCUCCUCUCCCCACGCGUCGGGUAUGCGGACUUGUCCCGCCACCUCAAGACGCAGCUUCUUCAGCCUCUCGCGACCGCCGCUGCCGCUGCCGUCUUCGUGACGCAUGCCCGUAGAUGCUGCUUGAUUGGGCUUGCCGUGUGGAUCGAGAGGACGAAGCAUCUCUCUAUUUAGUAGUGCCCAGUGCUACGUACGUACUGUUAAUUAUAACCUCUUAUUUUCACAUCGAGAGAUUAAUCAGAGACCACGCACGUAGUUGUGGUGUAUUUAAAGAUGACUGGGGAUGUUUAGAGCCAUUUAUUUCAUAUGGUUGGCGGAGGGAGCACUUGUAUGAAUAUCUCACCUUGUUGUGGUUGAGAACGGAACCGGGAACCGGGGGAAUAUGUGCGCAACAGGACACUGGGUUUUGUUGGGGGGCCAAUAGGAUUAGAGAAAUUGAUAUGCUUGUGUGGCGCUAGCUAGACACCUUGGGAAGGUUUCAUUUAGUUGCAAACUUCGUUUGAAAAUUACAUCCACUAAUUAUUAAUGUAGCUUUUCAUUCAUUUAUUCGAAUUUCGAAGAGAUGAGAUGAAUUUAUUCUGUGUGUCAUUGUAUUGGGCAAUUAAAUUUUUCUGGUUUAUCCUUAGUCAAGUUCAGGUGCAGGCUCCAUCCCCAAGUUGGAAGGGAUAUUUGUAUCCUAGAAUAAUGACUCUGCUUUUCGUAUUUAAAAACUCAUAUUUACAUAUUAGCAAUUAAUGAGUUUCGAAACAAAGAAAACUGAAAAAAAAAAAAAAAGAAUUAGGAUUUCAUUCAAAUCAGGAACCAACGUAGUCAAACAAGGUUUUAAGUACCUAUUCUUAUCAGCCUGGUAUUUUACUCUUAAGCAGGUAGGUUGAGAUACUUUCACAUCUUAUAUACACUAGUGUAGGCCCGCGCUUCGCGGCGGAAAAUUUAUGCAAUUUAUUUAAAAUUAAAAAUUUUUAACGCCCUUUUGUUUAAAUCCUAAAAUUUGAAAUUAACAUUUUGAACAUUUAAAUUUUAAAAAAUAUAUUUUAUCUUAAUUCAAUUUGUUAAUUUUGAAUAUAUGAUUUUAGUUAGAGUUUUGUUGAUUCCUAAUCUUUCUAAUUCUAAACUUUUAUAUGCAUCGAAUAACUCGCUGUAAUUUUGAAUUUUGAGGAAUUUAGCUAGAUAAUUUGACAUUCCAUGAUAUAUUUAGUAAAUUAAUAUAUAUAAUAAUGUUUAAAAUUUUAAACUUUAUAAUUUGAAUAUAAAAUUUAAAAUCUACAACCCAGAAAUUAAAAUGUAAAAUUUAAAACAGGAAAAUUUUAAAAUUUAGUUUUAGUAAUUAAGGAAAAAUAUACAAUUAUAAAUUUUAAAUUUUAAAUUUUAAAUUUCAAAAGCUAAUAUUUUAAAUAUUAAAUUAUAAAUUAAAUUUAAAAAAUUCAAUUGUUAAAUUUUAAAUGGUGAAAUUUCAAUAACAAUUGUUAAAAUUUAAAAUUUAAGUUUCGAUAGUUUAUAGUAGCCGCAAUUUUGCAAAAGGUAUAACUAAAAAUCCAUCAAAAGCUAAUAGUAAGAACGAAAUAUCAGUAGUUGCAUAACAACAAUAUGAUAUAUAUAUCAGAAGUACUUGAUUCAGUGGUACCUUGUAAUAUGAAACCAGCAAAUCAACCUACAUGAAAAAGUUCUAAUUUACAUCAUAAAACUGGAAUAGAACUAUCAUAAGAAUUGCUUUAGAUAUUUAUACAUAAUUUAGAUCGGUUACAGACAUUUACUUACAUAUUCACCACUUGCAUUCAUAAAAGUUUGAGGUUUGGCAAGCAUGACGGGAGAAUCACCAAUAAGGCCUGCAUAAAAAUCGCAAAAAUUUUAAAUAUAUUUUUCCAAAAAAAAUAAAAUGUAAAAUUGAGUGGACAAUUCAAAUAUAAAACUAAAUUUUGAUUUGAUUCAAAUUUAAACUUAUAAGCAAUUCAAAAUUUUAAUUUAUAUAUCAAAUUCAGAAUGCUUGAUUGAAUUUAUAUUUUAAUUUCAUUUCUAAUUCAAAAUCUAUAAUUACAAAUUAAAUAUCUAAAUUUAAAUACCUUAAAUUAAAGUCAAAAUUAAAUUAAAAUUAAAAAAAACUCUAAAAUCCUCUUCUCUAUAUGUAAAGAGAGAGAAGGGGAAAAAAAAAUAUCUCCGCCAAACUCCUUCCCCCACGCUCCUGCGCGCACGCCGCGUCCGCACCUGCCCCGCGCCCGCGCCUACUCCCGCUCCUGCUCGCUCGCGCCUGCUCCCGCUCGGGUGUGACCGCGCCUACAUAACGUAAAUAAUCAAGAUUGUAAUUCAAAAAAAGCAAAUAGAUUAAUGGUAAUCUACUGUUCGCCAAACUAUGUUGUGUCAUUGCUGCGUUUUUUUCCCCUGCACACUUUCUCUCCUUGCGGUUUCCUGCUGUUCCUGCUACUACUCUAUGCUUAUGGACAGUUUUGCCUAUCCUCAACUGCCUCCUCCUCUUUUCCCAUACACGGUUAUAAUAUGAUUCAUACUAUUGUUUGCUAUGAUUCUUCCUUAAUUAGUUUAUGAAAUACAACCUUUCUUUGACAAAGUUGGAAAAAAUAUAUAAAAUCCUACUAAAAGGGGGGGGAAAAAGUUUUGGCUAUGCUAUAAAAAGAAUGAAGAUGCUUUUACUAUCGGAGUGAGCAUUUGACCAAGUUUUUUUUUGUCUUAAAUUUUCAAGUAUGUAUAUCGUUACUUCUAAUUUACUGUGUUUACUUCUUGGCUUUUAUCAUUAAAUUUCCAAACAUAUGUAUCAUUACUUAUAAUUUUGAAACAUGUGUACUGUUUAUGUGUGUGUGCGCGCGCGCGCGCAUACAUAUAUAUAAAUAUAUGAUCAUGAAAGUAACUAAUUAGAUUCUAAGGUUCCCAAUUAUGAAAACGAAAACAGAUUCAUUCAUAUGAACAACAUUUUCUCCUUUCACAAAAGAAUCCAUAGGUGGGCCCGCCAAGAACAUUAAUAUUAAAGCCCCCAAACAUGCCCAAACUCUAAUUUUUUAGGGUGAGAAUAGCUAUUCCUAAUUCUCACCAUGCUAUAUCAACCAUCUUCCUCUCUCUCCCGCCUUUUAUAAUAAAUUUUCAAUUUUCAAUUUAAAUUUUACAAUUUGAAUAUUUAAAACUUAAAUAUUUAUAAUUUAUUAUUUCAAAACUAAAAUUAUAAUUUUAAAUUUUAAUUUGAUAUUUUUAAAUUUAAAUUUGAUGUUAAAUUCUAAAUUUCAACUUUUAAAUUCCAAAAUUAAAUUUAAAAUUUAAACUUAUCAUGAAAAAUCCAAAAUUGGGUAUAUAUAUCUAUAGUGCUACCAAGUUUUUGGCCAUUGGAUUACGAGAUGUGCGGUUAGGAUAUUAUGGCCCCCCUAGGGUUGAGUGGAUGAUUGAUUGAAUAGUAUGAUCUAACAGGUGAAAAUGAUCAAAAGGGUAGAUCUAACAGCGGAAAACUUGGUAGCACCAAAGUGCUUCGUGCUAUUAAUAACAUAAUAGCCGGACUCUAUAUAUAUAUAUAUAUAUUAAUUUAAGAGCUGAAGCGGUUAGUGUCUAACUAAAUAAGUCAAUUAUAAUAUUAAUUAGCAAUAUUAUACAUUUAUCAGAAACUAAUUAAUAAAAAAUUAGAAAAAAUUNCUAUCAUCAUCACCUAGAAAAUACAAUAGAGAAAUUAGUAUUAAUCACAAAUAUAUUCUGCUAUUCUUCUUAAUUCUAACAUAAUGUCUCGGAAAAGAAAAAAGGAAAAUUUAAGCAGUCUUCACGGGAAAACUAAAAAGGUAAGGCUCAGUUAAGUCGGCAAAAUUCUCGUAAGCAUAGGAUAGUAAUAGGAGCAAGCAAUAGAUUACCGUAGGAGGAACAUGUGUGCAACGACCAAGGAAAAGAACAAUAGGAAGUGGUUGCCUAUGAAUAGGCCGUCCAAACUUCCGCCUGUUCGAAGCCAUCAUUUUCCACGUUUUCCUCUACUUAUCAUUAUCNUUCUCUCUCUCUCUCUCUCUGGCCCGCGCGCAGGCCCCCACGCCUCUCUCUCUCUUUCUGUCUCUUUCUCUCUUCCUCUCUUUCUCUCGAGCGCCGAGAAUUGGCCACGUAGGCCAAGCUUAUGGGCACCAAGCAGGCAACAUGUGGCGCCGGCGAGGAGAAGGACGACGAUGGCCAUGGGUAUGCUAGGGUAGGCGAGUACGGCGCACGCGCGGAGGCGUACCGCGACGGCCACCGCAGAGAGAGGAGUUGGGACACGGUGCACACCGGAAAAGCUAGGGCUCCUGCCACACCGUGCGCCCGCGCGUACGGGUAGGGAGCAACGCCCCACAUCCCGCGGCGUCAGGAGACAGGGUCCGGGAGACGCGGGUAGGGCGACACGCACCCCUCCCGAGCACCCACGCAACGCAGGGCGAGCGCGGAGCACCCACGCAACGCGGGGCAAGCGGGGGGCGCCGAGAAAGCGCCACGUAGGCCACAGUAAAACUGAGCCUUUAAUAUAUGUAUUGAUUAGUGCAUUACGUACGGCUCCUUUCGCAGGUACUCAAUUAUUAAUAGAGCUCCAACUCUCUCGGCUCAUGUUGCUGCCCCCGUACAGAAUUAGCAUAGAUCUAAUUAGAGAUGCGGCGUCAUUAGAGCUUGCCUCUAAUUAGAGCACGGCAGGUCACCAACAACUUAAUUAAUUUUGCAUGGCUCUUAAUUUGGUCGCGGCUUUAUUAAUUUGGUCGUAUCAUGUAUAUAUAAUAUAUAUCUCCUAACUAGAGUCUAAUUCUAAUUCAAUUAAAAUUAUACUCCUAAUUAUAAUCCAUAUAUGCCAAAUUAAAUAUAAUCUCAAUUAGAUCAGAAUUUAACUCCAAUUUAACUAACUACAAAUCUAAACAAAACAUAACACGUAAAAAGGUUAAAAAUCAAUGUUGUAUUAAUCCUCAAGAAAGAAAGGGUUACAAACAUUUUAUAUUUAUAUUCCCUAAAAAUGACUGGUCAAAGAACUUUAUGACCUAAGGCAAAAACUUUUUCCUUCAAAAAGACACCAACGCUUCGCCAUGCAUGUUGGCAUCCACGUGUAGUUUUCGUCUAACUGUAACGGAAAUAUAGACGGCAGGAUUCAGAACAAAGGUUGGAGACCUAAUUUAAAACUCGAAAAAAGGUUGGAAUCUAAUGGUGUAAUUUACCCACAUAAAAUGCUAGACAACUAUCUCUAUACAGCAAAUUUUAUAUAUUUCUGACUCUUGUAGCUCUACCACAAAAUAAAUUAAUUACAAACAUAGAUAAAAACUGCAAACUCCGAGCAAUUUACAGCAACAACAACAAGACAACACAAAACAACCCAACAACUCCCCUAGCUCAUUUGUGUUAUAUACAUGUACAAACCACAUCAACCCUUACUUCUCAUCCUAUAUAUAUAUACACACACACACACAAGGUUCAUGAGGUCUGAUAUAUACUCAAUCACAUGAGGGCGCAGGCGUUGGGGUUCUCGUCGCUAAAAGCGGAGACGUACUUCUCCUCGAGGGAGGAGGCGCGGGCGAGGGGGGCGGCGUCGGGGUCGACGAGGGCGACACCGCGGACGUAGCCGGGCGGGGCCUUCUUGUCGUAGACGCCGGGGGCGUAAGGGUGGGGCACCAUCUCGUACGGCACGUACGGCCACGGCUCCACCUUCUUCCCCGUCCGCUGCGCCAGCCGCUCCAUCACCUUCCGCGCCUCCACGUACCCCGUCACCGUCACCUUGUUCUGCUUCGCGUUCACCUCCACGCUUGUCACCCCUGCAUGCAUGUAACACACACGCGCGUCUAACAUUUUUAUAAUAAAUAUAUAGUUACUUUUUUUUUUUUUUUCAUAAUUGUAUAUAGAUUUUAAAUUGAGUGAUUUGCAUGUACUCCUCCUGUACUUGAUGAACGUAUAACAUUAAUUAAAACUUCUCUGAUUAUUUAAGCUUCUGAAAGAAAAUAAAAACGACUGUUAGUUUAUAUUAUUUAACACAGAGUAUAAUCAAAGCACAAGUUUAUUAUAUAUGAGUUUGAAUUCCCUCAAGACUUCUAAUCUUCUUUAAUUUCUUUCUUGUUUAGUAAAGUCUAUAUUUUACACUUAUCACAAAUAUUUCGAGCCCAAAUAUUAGAGAAAAAUUAAGUUGAAUAUAAUAUUAGACACUAUUAAUUAUACUAGCAACUAACUUGUGCGAUGCACGGAUUUUAAUUUUAUUUUUUUGUUUAUAACUUUUAUAUAAUAUAUAUUAAUUUAUACAAAUUAAUUAAGAUUUUAUUUGAAAAAGUAUUGAAUCAAAUUAAAAUAAUACUAUCAUGAUAUGCUAAUAGAAUGUAAGUAAAUAAUUUAUAAUUAUAAAGUCAUAAAGUUAAUAAUUUAAUUUUUAAGGGCACAACCUUGCAUAAUAUAUUUUAGUUUUUAUAUUUAUUUAAAUUUCUUACUAUUUUUACCAAAUUUAGAGCUAAUAGCACUUUUUCACAUGAAAGAAGAAAAUGAAAAUUUGAAAUAGAAAGGAGUAAAAUAUUAAGCAAAUAAAUUCUUACUACAAUUAGUAUUGUAAAUUUAGAAAUUGAACAACUAAAUUAAAUUAAAACUAAAGAACAAUUUUAAAUUUCUUUCUAAAUGCAGUUUAAAUUGCAUAAUAGAUUAAAUUUUUAUUGUAUGCUACUAAUUUUAGAGCUAAUUCUGCCAAGAAGUAAAGAAAUUAAGCAAAUUAAUUCUGACUGUAAUUGGGAUCAUAAUUUAAUUUUUUUUUAUGUGGUUCAUAAACAGAUAUUUUUAUAAUCCUCCAUCCUCCAUGGGAAUUAAUUUAAAUAAAAGUAAUAUAAAUUACGUGAUCAACAAAUUUAAAUUGAAGAAAUUUAAGAGUGAAAAGCAAAUUUAUAAUCCUUGAUUUUAAACUGAAGUAAUUAAACUGAUUUAAAUUGAAGAAAUUUAAAAGUGAAAAGCAAAUUUAUAAUCCUUGAUUUUAAACUGAAGUAAUUAAACUGAUUUAAAUUGAAGAAAUUUAAAAGUGAAAAGCAAAUUUAUAAUCCUUGAUUUUAAACUGAAGUAAUUUAAAUUAUACGAAGAAUUAAUUUAAAUUGAAAAAAAUUGAAAUUGAAGAACUAAUUUAUUGCAUAUUGUAAUUAUUGAUCAUAAAUAAGAUGAUUAUUAUAACAUGAGUUGAACGGCGCUUCUUGGCAGUAUGUGGUGCAACGGUAACCUAUGCUUUCAAAAUACUAUAUAUAUAUAUAUAUAUAUAUAUAUAUAUAUAUAUAAUUCACUGCUAGCUUAAGUUUGACCCAAGUUAUGCUUUAGUGAUCGACAAUUAUUAAUUUGAAUAUAUUCCACCAGUUCCCUAUAUAUUCUAAAAAUGAAAUUAUAUAUUGUCAACGUCAAAUUAUUUAUACAUCUAUAAAUAUCCGUGUAUCUAUUCUUUGACUCACGAUUUCACCAAGGUAUGUUACCACUAUCUCCUGAAUAAAAGUGCUACCUAAAAGAUAGGGUUUUGAGCUAGGCACGUAAGCUUCAUAAAAUGAAAGGUUCAAAUAGACUCUUAAUUUGGGAAGAGUCUUGGGGUCAGAGAGACUUAAUGAGGAACUUCAAACAAAAUUAAAAGAAAAGGAAAUUAAGAAGAGAAAAUUUUAAUCCUUUCCAUUUCCAUCCCGUAGAGACUGGAAAAAGAUAAAAUCAAUUAAUGGAUGCUCUAAAUGCAGAAACUAAUUAAUUAAUAGCAAUAAUUAAUUCCUCAACACUGACUAAUUAAGAACAUGAACCAAAAUAAAAAUAUAUAUAUAUACUUCAAAUUAAAAAGAUGUUGACCGUAGGCCAGUUCAAGACUUCACGGAAAACUUGACCCCCUAGGGCUCAACUCGAAGACCACUUAAUUAGUAUUUCAGCCAAAACUUCUUUUUAUAUGAUCGAAAUCUCUCAAAGAGAGUAGUAUAUAUAUACCUUUCAUGGCUUUCAAAGCGUUCUUGAUCUUCCGCUGACAACCUUGGCAGUCUAUUCGGACCUUCAUCGCCACCGUCUGAGAAGAUCAAUACGAGAGUAGUACUGGGUCAAUGCAUGGUGUCAAUAAUUAGCUAUACAUAUAUAGUCUAUCAGAAGAUAAUUAAGCACACGUACGUACCAACAGGCUGCAGUUUGCCUGCAGCCUGGCGGCCUAAGCAUGCAUGGACAGCAUUUAUUUUUCAUGAACUGAUCAUCAUCAUGCACGUAUGCAAAAAUUAAUUGGAUGUCUCACAUAUGCACUGAAUUGAAUGAAUUAGCGCCGAAUGUAUAUAUAUGAUGAUGAUGAUGAUGAUGAUGAUGAUGAUGAUGAUGAUGAUGGGCUUAAUUCUGUGCGUGUAUACGUACCUGCAACUGCUUGGGUUUCCUACGCUUCUUUAUGCGGCUGAUGGGGCCUUCGCACAGCUCUGACAAGUAGUCGAUCACGCCCUCCAUCACACCCAUCUUCCUAGCUAAUCACUUUCCCGGCCGUCCGUCCGUCCGUCCUUCUUCUCCCCUCAACUAAUUUAUAUUUAUAUAAUACAUAAUAUAUAUAUAUAAGCUUGAGCUGCAGUUAUUUAUCUACGGUUGUGGGUGAAAUUAUCCCGGAGGUGAUUAUUAAUUCGCUUCUGCUUUCGUGGGGAAGCCGGAAAACGACGAGGGGAAGAAAAAAGUGCGUUUCCGGAGAGUGAGGCUCCAGACGCUUCUCGACCAUACCUCGAUCGUACGUGUGGGCGGUGCCACGCGCGACAGACCUAUUACUCUCGUAUCUUCCCCAUUUCCCUGUCGGGGGUCGCCACGUGUUCGGACUUCGGAACCAUGUGGGACUGGAAGGUAUUGCUGCCACGUGGCGUUUUGGCAUGACGUGGCGUAUUCGGGCUCGUGCCACAGCGUUAUCGAGAUGCGGGAGUUUGGGUUUUAAUUAUAUUUUGUCUCUCUUUGUUUGUUUCUUUUUUAUCCUUACUUUGUUCCGGCAUCCGAAGAUCGUAAUUAAUGUAGAACUAGUUAAGGGCCGCGCCAUAUUAUAAUACUAAUUUAUUAUUAUUAUUUUAUAUAUAUAUAUAUAUAUAUAUAUAUAUAUAUAUAUAUAUAUAUAUAUANAAUUAUGCUACUAUACUAUCAACAGUACCAAGCCCUUGGUACUAUUGAGUUUUCGGCCGUUGGAUGAAAGGAUGUGCGGUUAGGAUAAUAGUGGUCCUCGGUUAAAUUGAUAGUGGUCCCCUAGGGUUGAGUGGGUGGUUGGUUUAAUAGUAUAAUCUAACGGAUGUAAAUGAUCAAAGGGUAGAUCAAACGGUAGAAAACUCAAUAGUACCAAGAACUUGCUACUAUCGAUAGUAUAGUAGCCGGACUCUAUAUAUAUAUAGUUCCGCUACUAUGCUAUUAAUAGCACGAAACACUUGGUGCUAUCAAGUUUUCCGCCGUUAGAUCUACCUUUUUGAUCAUUUUCACCCGUUAGAUUAUACAAUUCAACCAACCACCCACUCAACCCUAGGGGGUCCACAUCAUACUAACCGUACAUCUCUUAAUCCAAUGGCCAAAAACUUGGUAGCACCAAUGACUUGGUGCUAUUAAUAGUAUACUAGCAUAGUUAUAUAUAUAUAUAUAUAUGUCCGGCUACGGUGCUUGUAAAAGCACCAAGUAUUUGGUGCUUGUAAAUUUUUUACCGUUAGAUCUACAUCUCUAAUCAUUUUUAACCAUUAGAUGAUACUAUUCAACCAACCACCCACUCAACCAUAGGGGGCCCACAUCAUCCUAACCGCACAUCCCUUAAUUCAAGGGCUAAAAAUCUACAAGCACUAAUAACUUAGUACUUUUAAAAGCAUAGGAGCUCAAUUCUAUAUAUAUAUAUAUAUAUAUAUAUAUAUAUAUAUAUAUAUAUAUAUAUAUAUAUAUAUCUAUAAANNNNNNNNNNNNNNNNNNNNNNNNNNNNNNNNNNNNNNNNNNNNNNNNNNNNNNNNNNNNNNNNNNNNNNNNNNNNNNNNNNNNNNNNNNNNNNNNNNNNNNNNNNNNNNNNNNNNNNNNNNNNNNNNNNNNNNNNNNNNNNNNNNNNNNNNNNNNNNNNNNNNNNNNNNNNNNNNNNNNNNNNNNNNNNNNNNNNNNNNNNNNNNNNNNNNNNNNNNNNNNNNNNNNNNNNNNNNNNNNNNNNNNNNNNNNNNNNNNNNNNNNNNNNNNNNNNNNNNNNNNNNNNNNNNNNNNNNNNNNNNNNNNNNNNNNNNNNNNNNNNNNNNNNNNNNNNNNNNNNNNNNNNNNNNNNNNNNNNNNNNNNNNNNNNNNNNNNNNNNNNNNNNNNNNNNNNNNNNNNNNNNNNNNNNNNNNNNNNNNNNNNNNNNNNNNNNNNNNNNNNNNNNNNNNNNNNNNNNNNNNNNNNNAAAAAGAUUAUGGAGUAAAAUAAAAAAUAGUGAAAAGGUUGGGACCAAUGUGCGAUUAAAUCUUAAAAAAAUUACAUGUGGGCUCCACAACCCCUUAAAAUAAAGAGAGACUUUAUUUUAAGAUUAAUUUUAAGAUUAAUUUCGGGUUUAAUUUAAAAUUUAAAUUCUUAUUUUUGGAGACUUAAGCAAAAAAUAAAGUUUACGGACUAAAAUUGACGUGCAAAAGAAAGUUAAAUAAGCAAUGGCAUGAUAAUAUGGUUACUUUUAAAACCUCUUUUAACAGUGCCAUUUUAUUGCAAUGAAAUCAAAAGAUUCAAAAUUUUAAUUGCAAAAAAAAAAAAGAAAAAAAGAUUGAGGGCCAAAAUAAAAAAAAAAUAAAAAAGUUGGAGCCAAUAUGUGAUUAUAUCGUAAAAAAAAAAAGGGGACUAAAAUUGACAUGCAAAAGAAAGCUAAAUAGGCGAUGGCUUGAUAAUAUCAUUAAUUCUAAAAUCUCUUUUAACAGUAACAUUUUAUUGUGAUGAAAUCAAGAAUUCGAAAAUUUGAUUGCAAAAAAAAAAAGUGAGGACCAAAAUAAAAAAUAGUGAAAAUGUUAGGACCAAUAUGCAAUUAAUUAGUAAAAAAAAUUGCAUAUGGGCCCCGCGCAACUCCCCCCAGAAUAUGAGGAUAAAUUGAUACACUUUAAAACAUAGGGUACUAAAUUGAUACAUUUUAAACCACACGGUACAAAAAUGAAAAAGUGCGAAACCACAAGGAUUUAACAGUUGGGAUAUAAUUGCAAUAAAAUCAAGAAAAAGUUCAAGCAACCCUUCAUACAAACUCGGUGUUAUAGGCCUAAAAAAUUUCAAAGUACUUUUCAGCUCUUGUCCUCUAAUAAUACAAAAAUUAUUUAAGGGCUGAGCGAUACAGCGAAAAAAUAUUAUUAUAGUAAAUUAUUAUUAUUAAAAUCAAUAUAUAUAUAUAUAUAUAUAUAAAUAUAUNNNNNNNNNNNNNNNNNNNNNNNNNNNNNNNNNNNNNNNNNNNNNNNNNNNNNNNNNNNNNNNNNNNNNNNNNNNNNNNNNNNNNNNNNNNNNNNNNNNNNNNNNNNNNNNNNNNNNNNNNNNNNNNNNNNNNNNNNNNNNNNNNNNNNNNNNNNNNNNNNNNNNNNNNNNNNNNNNNNNNNNNNNNNNNNNNNNNNNNNNNNNNNNNNNNNNNNNNNNNNNNNNNNNNNNNNNNNNNNNNNNNNNNNNNNNNNNNNNNNNNNNNNNNNNNNNNNNNNNAGAGAGAGAGAGAGAGAGAGAGAGAGAGAGAGAGAGAGUGUCCGGCUAUGGUGCUUAUAAAAGCACCAACCACUUGAUGCUUAUAAAUUUUUUACCGUUAGAUUUACAUCUUGAUCAUUUUCACCCGUUAGAUUAGUAUAAUACCAACCACCCACUCAACCCUAGGGAGCCCACAUCAUCCUAACCGCACAUCCCUUAAGACAAUAGCCAAAAAUCUACAAACACUAAUAACUUGGUACUUUUAAAAGCAUCCUAAUGGCACAUCCCUCAAUCCAAUGGCCGAAAAUCUAUAAACACCAAUAACUUGAUACUUUUAAAAGCAUAGGAGCUCAAUUAUAUAUAUAUAUAUAUAUAUAUAUAUAUAUAUAUAUAUAUAUAUAUAUAUAUAUAUAUAUAUAUAUAUAGANAUUGUAGGGUUAGGAUGAUAUUAGUCAGUUAGAGUUAAGUGGUCCCCCUAGGGUUGAGUGGUCCUCACUGGGUUAUAGUAUUUAAUCCAAUGGUUAGAAAUAAUGAAAAGAGUUGAUCCAAAAGCUAAAAAACUGGUAGCAACAAUGGGAUUUUGCUACUAAUAGUAGCCCAGUCCAACUCUAUAUAUAUGUAUGUAUAUGUAUGUAUAUGUAUAUGUAUAUGUAUAUAUAUGUAUAUGUAUAUGUAUAUAUAUGUAUAUGUAUAUAUAUAUAUAUAUAUAUAUAUAGCAACAAUGGGAUUUGCUACUAAUAGUAGCCCAGUCCAACUCUAUUUAUAUAUGUAUAUGUAUAUGCUAUUAUGAGUAUUUUAGAGCCUUCGUACUCAUAAGUUGUUUUCAAUGAUGGAGCUUCCGAAUCGACGAUCCACUCCGUUAAAUAUGAUCUAGAGUAUUUGAAACUUCUAGAAAAUAAAUUUCGUAAAUUUUCGAAAUCAUAAUAAAGUCCAUUAAGUGGGCAUAAAAUGAACGGUCAAAAUCGAACGACGUCCUAAAAAAN
This 17853-nucleotide long non-coding RNA is filed under the name Ananas comosus (pineapple). Its description in RNAcentral is "long non-coding RNA (ACOM_LNC042250)". The record is from RNAcentral. Lineage: Eukaryota; Viridiplantae; Streptophyta; Magnoliopsida; Poales; Bromeliaceae.